This 514-nucleotide ribosomal RNA is filed under the name uncultured bacterium. RNAcentral's name for it is "partial 16S ribosomal RNA". It matches the Rfam family "Bacterial small subunit ribosomal RNA", at positions 29 to 523 of the family's 1533-position model. The record is from RNAcentral.
AACGAACGCUGGCGGCGUGCCUAAUACAUGCAAGUCGAGCGAACAGAGAAGGAGCUUGCUCCUUCGACGUUAGCGGCGGACGGGUGAGUAACACGUGGGCAACCUACCUUAUAGUUUGGGAUAACUCCGGGAAACCGGGGCUAAUACCGAAUAAUCUGUUUCACCCCAUGGUGAAACACUGAAAGACGGUUUCGGCUGUCGCUAUAGUGUGGGCCCGCGGCGCAUUAGCUAGUUGGUGAGGUAACGGCUCACCAAGGCGACGAUGCGUAGCCGACCUGAGAGGGUGAUCGGCCACACUGGGACUGAGACACGGCCCAGACUCCUACGGGAGGCAGCAGUAGGGAAUCUUCCACAAUGGGCGAAAGCCUGAUGGAGCAACGCCGCGUGAGUGAAGAAGGAUUUCGGUUCGUAAAACUCUGUUGUAAGGGAAGAACAAGUACAGUAGUAACUGGCUGUACCUUGACGGUACCUUAUUAGAAAGCCACGGCUAACUACGUGCCAGCCGCCGCCGUAA